This 26-nucleotide non-coding RNA is filed under the name Mus musculus (house mouse). The record is from RNAcentral. Lineage: Eukaryota; Metazoa; Chordata; Mammalia; Rodentia; Muridae.
CCACCUAGAAGGGGCCUCACCUUGAA